Molecule: long non-coding RNA, 876 nt
Filed under: Monodelphis domestica (gray short-tailed opossum)
Lineage: Eukaryota; Metazoa; Chordata; Mammalia; Didelphimorphia; Didelphidae
Description: lncRNA (ENSMODG00000035914.2)
Source: RNAcentral
CUACUGCCCUUGGACCCAGCAUUUAGGGUGAGAUUUCUCUUGCACUAGUCUUCCUCAUCAUUACCGCCACCCUCAAGGACCCCCAUAGCAGAGUUCCGGACCACUGUCCCCAGGUCCAAGGUAGUAACCUUGCUAGGAAGGCAGUUGCAAGAUAGUUGGACUGCACGGAUCAAGUCUUUGCCUGAUGUCUUUGGUUUGAAGAGGCUAACCACAACCCUAAGACUGGACUGAUCUUGAGCCAGCAUUGUCCUUCCUUGCAUGACUAAGCCAUCUAUCAGAAUGUUUAUCACCAUUCUUUAUGGAGCUACCCUGAACAUGGUAGGAGACUCCAUCUCCCCAGUGUCUGAGAAACAACCAAAAUCUGGGAAGACCAAGAGAAAAGCUUUGACUGCUGAGGGUCUGAGUCGAAAGGUGAGUAUCUAACUGGGAGACUCAUCUGGCCUUCAUCUUUUCUACCACUAACACAUACUAAAUCUGUCUUUGCUUCUGUUUCAGGCAAACUGAGAUCCUUCCUGUAUGAGAUGAUCAGGCUUAAAGAAAUAGAGAUCCUUAAAGUGAACAAAAGCAAGAUUUGAUCUUUCUCACACUAUUCACAUCCAGAGAAAGAACUAUGGAAGCAGAAACCCAGAAGAAAAACAACUGCUUGAUCACAUGGGUCAAUGGGAAUGUAAUUGGGGAUGUAGACUAAAUGAUCACUCUAGUACAAUUAUCAAUCAUAUGGAAAUAGGUCUUGAUCAAUGACAGAUGUAAAACCCAGUGGAAUUGAGUGUUGGCUGGUGGGAGAGGGAUAGCAGGGGAGGGAAAAAACAUGAAUCAUGAAACCAUGGAAAAAUAUUCUAAAUCCAUUAAUUAAAUAAAAUUUUUCAAUUCUAAACA